Mytilus californianus (California mussel) is the source of this 255-nucleotide long non-coding RNA. RefSeq lists it as uncharacterized. The transcript has 2 exons. The record is from RefSeq and is a predicted model, not a curated record. NCBI's taxonomy places the organism in Eukaryota, Metazoa, Mollusca, Bivalvia, Mytilida, Mytilidae.
AUUGGAUCAAUUUCAAUGAAAUAAGGCCAGAGAUAUGAUUCGCACCAAAAUGGGUGGAUAUUGGAUCAAUUUCUAUGAAAUUUUGCCAGAUUAUUUUGUUGCAGAACAUGAUAUUGUCCAAGAUUCUGUCAGGCAGUGUAUCUUGUGUUUUUGAUGGACUUUAUUAUUUUAGUUUGAUGGACUUGACCAGAUCAGAUACAUAUUGUAUUAGGAAAAUAAAAUUUAAGGUGGUCACUGCGCCAUUCAGUAUCCAAA